AACGAACGCUGGCGGCAUGCCUAACACAUGCAAGUCGAACGAGACCUUCGGGUCUAGUGGCGCACGGGUGCGUAACGCGUGGGAACCUGCCCUUAGGUUCGGAAUAACUCCCCGAAAGGGGUGCUAAUACCGGAUAAUGUCUUCGGACCAAAGAUUUAUCGCCUUUGGAUGGGCCCGCGUUGGAUUAGCUAGUUGGUAGGGUAAAAGCCUACCAAGGAGACGAUCCAUAGCUGGUCUGAGAGGAUGAUCAGCCACACUGGGACUGAGACACGGCCCAGACUCCUACGGGAGGCAGCAGUGGGGAAUAUUGGACAAUGGGCGAAAGCCUGAACCAGCAAUGCCGCGUGAGUGAUGAAGGCCUGAGGGUUGUAAAGCUCUUUUACCCGGGAUGAUAAUGACAGUACCGGGAGAAUAAGCACCGGCUAACUCCGUG
Molecule: ribosomal RNA, 433 nt
Filed under: uncultured bacterium
Lineage: Bacteria
Description: partial 16S ribosomal RNA
Rfam family: Bacterial small subunit ribosomal RNA
Source: RNAcentral